Molecule: ribosomal RNA, 549 nt
Filed under: fungal endophyte
Lineage: Eukaryota; Fungi
Description: eukaryotic LSU rRNA
Rfam family: 5.8S ribosomal RNA (bases 180-333)
Source: RNAcentral
UUAAAGAGUUCUAUAACUCCCAAACCCAUGUGAACAUACCUAGCGUUGCCUCGGCAGGUCGCACCUACCUUGUAGCACCCUACCCUGUAGGGCCUACCCGGGAGGUGCGGGUAAGCCUGCCGGCGGCCCACCAAACUCUGUUUGAUAUUGAAUUCUGAACCUAUAACUAAAUAAGUUAAAACUUUCAACAACGGAUCUCUUGGUUCUGGCAUCGAUGAAGAACGCAGCGAAAUGCGAUAAGUAAUGUGAAUUGCAGAAUUCAGUGAAUCAUCGAAUCUUUGAACGCAUAUUGCGCCCAUUAGUAUUCUAGUGGGCAGGACCGUUCGAGCGUCAUUUCAACCCUUAAGCCUUCGUUGCUUAGUGUUGGGAGCCUACGGCAACGUAGCUCCUCAAAGUUAGUGGCGGAGUUAGUUCACACUCUAGACGUAGUAAUUUUUUAUCUCGCCUAUUAGUUGGACUAAUCCCCUGCCGUAAAACCCCCAAUUUAUCAAGGUUGACCUCGAAUCGGUUCAGACAAACUCGCUAAAUUGAAGCAUCUUAGUCAGCGAA